This 468-nucleotide ribosomal RNA is filed under the name uncultured bacterium. RNAcentral describes it as "partial 16S ribosomal RNA". It matches the Rfam family "Bacterial small subunit ribosomal RNA", at positions 28 to 507 of the family's 1533-position model. The record is from RNAcentral.
GACGAACGCUGGCGGCGUGCUUAACACAUGCCAGUCGAACGGAAAGGCCCUGCUUUUGUGGGGUGCUCGAGUGGCGAACGGGUGAGUAACACGUGAGUAACCUGCCCUUGACUUUGGGAUAACUUCAGGAAACUGGGGCUAAUACCGGAUAGGAGCUCCUGCUGCAUGGUGGGGGUUGGAAAGUUUCGGCGGUUGGGGAUGGACUCGCGGCUUAUCAGCUUGUUGGUGGGGUAGUGGCUUACCAAGGCUUUGACGGGUAGCCGGCCUGAGAGGGUGACCGGCCACAUUGGGACUGAGAUACGGCCCCGACUCCUACGGGAGGCAGCAGUGGGGAAUAUUGCACAAUGAGCGGAAGCCUGAUGCAGCAACGCCGCGUGCGGGAUGACGGCCUUCGGGUUGUAAACCGCUUUCGCCUGUGACGAAGCGUGAGUGACGGUAAUGGGUAAAGAAGCACCGGCUAACUACGUG